RNAcentral lists this ribosomal RNA (301 nucleotides) under uncultured bacterium. Its description in RNAcentral is "partial 16S ribosomal RNA". It matches the Rfam family "Bacterial small subunit ribosomal RNA", at positions 509 to 807 of the family's 1533-position model. The record is from RNAcentral.
CAGCAGCCGCGGUAAUACAGAGGGUGCAAGCGUUAAUCGGAAUUACUGGGCGUAAAGCGCGCGUAGGUGGUUUGUUAAGUUGGAUGUGAAAUCCCCGGGCUCAACCUGGGAACUGCAUCCAAAACUGGCAAGCUAGAGUAUGGUAGAGGGUGGUGGAAUUUUCUGUGUAGCGGUGAAAUGCGUAGAUAUAGGAAGGAACACCAGUGGCGAAGGCGACCACCUGGACUGAUACUGACACUGAGGUGCGAAAGCGUGGGGAGCAAACAGGAUUAGAUACCCCUGUAGUCCCUGUCUCUUAUAC